This 468-nucleotide ribosomal RNA is filed under the name uncultured bacterium. RNAcentral's name for it is "partial 16S ribosomal RNA". It matches the Rfam family "Bacterial small subunit ribosomal RNA", at positions 28 to 507 of the family's 1533-position model. The record is from RNAcentral.
GACGAACGCUGGCGGCGUGCUUAACACAUGCAAGUCGAACGGAAAGGCCCUGCUUUUGUGGGGUGCUCGAGUGGCGAACGGGUGAGUAACACGUGAGUAACCUGCCCUUGACUUUGGGAUAACUUCAGGAAACUGGGGCUAAUACCGGAUAGGAGCUCCUGCUGCAUGGUGGGGGUUGGAAAGUUUCGGCGGUUGGGGAUGGACUCGCGGCUUAUCAGCUUGGUGGUGGGGUAGUGGCUUACCAAGGCUUUGACGGGUAGCCGGCCUGAGAGGGUGGCCGGCCACAUUGGGACUGAGAGACGGCCCAGACUCCUACGGGAGGCAGCAGUGGGGAAUAUUGCACAAUGGGCGGAAGCCUGAUGCAGCAACGCCGCGUGCGGGAUGACGGCCUUCGGGUUGUAAACCGCUUUCGCCUGUGACGAAGCGUGAGUGACGGUAAUGGGUAAAGAAGCACCGGCUAACUACGUG